This 468-nucleotide ribosomal RNA is filed under the name uncultured soil bacterium. Its description in RNAcentral is "bacterial SSU rRNA". It matches the Rfam family "Bacterial small subunit ribosomal RNA", at positions 35 to 501 of the family's 1533-position model. The record is from RNAcentral.
GCUGGCGGCGUGCUUAACACAUGCAAGUCGAGUGCGCGUUUCUGUAGCAAUACAGGAAUGGCGCACGGCGCACGGGUGCGUAACACGUGGGUAAUCUGCCCUCUGAUGGGGAAUAACCCGCCGAAAGGCGGGCUAAUUCCGCAUAACAUUCCCUGGACUCCGGUUCGGGGAUUCAAAGGCGUAAGUCGUCGGAGGUGGAGCCCGCGCACGAUUAGCUAGUUGGUAGGGUAACGGCCUACCAAGGCUUUGAUCGUUAGCUGGUCUGAGAGGAUGGCCAGCCACACUGGAACUGAGACACGGUCCAGACUCCUACGGGAGGCAGCAGUGGGGAAUCUUGCACAAUGGGCGAAAGCCUGAUGCAGCGACGCCGCGUGGGGGAUGAAGCUUCUCGGAGUGUAAACCCCUUUCGACCCGGACGAAUGCCCCGCAAGGGGAGUGACGGUACGGGUAAAAGAAGCCCCGGCUAAC